CACUAAGUUCUGCUAAGAGCUUGUUCCUGCUCUCUGGGGAAAGAGAGGUUCACCCACUGGAAGCUGGAUCCUGGCCUUGGGUCCAGGGUGGGUGGAGACAGCAGAGACCUCAGCGCAGUUGCAUCGCUGGAAGUGGGGUCUGCAGUGCUGAUGGUGUCGGUUGGAGUGCUUGGAGUCCUCGGCAAGCGCUAGGAGCAUCGAUUGGCG
RNAcentral lists this long non-coding RNA (207 nucleotides) under Pelobates cultripes (western spadefoot toad). Lineage: Eukaryota; Metazoa; Chordata; Amphibia; Anura; Pelobatidae. The record is from RNAcentral.